GAGGGUAUAUCUCAGAGGUAGAGUGCAUGCUUAGCAUCCUCGAGGUCCUGGGUUCAAUCCCCAGUACCUCCA
RNAcentral lists this transfer RNA (72 nucleotides) under Camelus ferus (Wild Bactrian camel). It matches the Rfam family "tRNA". Rfam says of the family: Transfer RNA (tRNA) molecules are approximately 80 nucleotides in length. Their secondary structure includes four short double-helical elements and three loops (D, anti-codon, and T loops). Further hydrogen bonds mediate the characteristic L-shaped molecular structure. tRNAs have two regions of fundamental functional importance: the anti-codon, which is responsible for specific mRNA codon recognition, and the 3' end, to which the tRNAs corresponding amino acid is attached (by aminoacyl-tRNA synthetases). tRNAs cope with the degeneracy of the genetic code in two manners: having more than one tRNA (with a specific anti-codon) for a particular amino acid; and 'wobble' base-pairing, i.e. permitting non-standard base-pairing at the 3rd anti-codon position. The record is from Rfam by way of RNAcentral. Lineage: Eukaryota; Metazoa; Chordata; Mammalia; Artiodactyla; Camelidae.